CCUACGGUGGGCAGCAGUGAGGAAUAUUGGUCAAUGGCCGGACGGCCGAACCAGCCAAGUCGCGUGAGGGAAUAAGGCCCUAUGGGUCGUAAACCUCUUUUGUCAGGGAGCAAAGGCGUCCACGUGUGGACGAGAGGAGAGUACCUGAAGAAAAAGCAUCGGCUAACUCCGUGCCAGCAGCCGCGGUAAUACGGAGGAUGCGAGCGUUAUCCGGAUUUAUUGGGUUUAAAGGGUGCGUAGGCGGAGUGUCAAGUCAGCGGUAAAAUUUCGGGGCUCAACCCCGUCGUGCCGUUGAAACUGACGCCCUUGAGUGAGUGAGAAGUAAGCGGAAUGCGUGGUGUAGCGGUGAAAUGCAGAGAUAUCACGCAGAACGCCGAUUGCGAAGGCAGCUUGCUGCAGCGGAACUGACGCUGAUGCUCGAAAGCGCGGGUAUCGAACAGGAUUAGAUACCCCUGUAGUC
RNAcentral lists this ribosomal RNA (460 nucleotides) under uncultured bacterium. RNAcentral's name for it is "partial 16S ribosomal RNA". It matches the Rfam family "Bacterial small subunit ribosomal RNA", at positions 338 to 795 of the family's 1533-position model. The record is from RNAcentral.